RNAcentral lists this ribosomal RNA (198 nucleotides) under uncultured bacterium. Its description in RNAcentral is "partial 16S ribosomal RNA". It matches the Rfam family "Bacterial small subunit ribosomal RNA", at positions 326 to 539 of the family's 1533-position model. The record is from RNAcentral.
ACGCUCGACACCUACGGAAGGCAGCAGUGGGGAAUAUUGCACAAUGGGGGAAACCCUGAUGCAGCAACGCCGCGUGAAGGAAGACGGUUUUCGGAUUGUAAACUUCUGUUCUUAGUGAAGAUAGUGACGGUAGCUAAGGAGCAAGCCACGGCUAACUACGUGCCCGCAGCCGCGGUAAUCUGAGCGGGCUGGCAAGGC